Molecule: ribosomal RNA, 459 nt
Filed under: uncultured bacterium
Lineage: Bacteria
Description: partial 16S ribosomal RNA
Rfam family: Bacterial small subunit ribosomal RNA
Source: RNAcentral
CCUACGGGCGGCAGCAGUGAGGAAUAUUGGUCAAUGGGAGCGAUCCUGAACCAGCCAAGCCGCGUGAGGGAAGACGGCCCUAUGGGUUGUAAACCUCUUUUGUCGGGGAACAAAACCCGGGACGUGUCCCGGACUGCGUGUAUCCGAAGAAAAAGCAUCGGCUAACUCCGUGCCAGCCGCCGCGGUAAUACGGAGGAUGCGAGCGUUCUCCGGAUUUAUUGGGUUUAAAGGGUGCGUAGGCGGUCCGUUAAGUCCGCGGUAAAAUGGCGGGGCUCAACCCCGUCGAGCCGUUGAAACUGGCAGACUUGAGUGGGCGAGAAGUAUGCGGAAUGCGCGGUGUAGCGGUGAAAUGCAUAGAUAUCGCGCAGAACUCCGAUUGCGAAGGCAGCGUACCGGCGCCAGACUGACGCUGAGGCACGAAAGCGUGGGGAUCGAACAGGAUUAGAUACCCCUGUAGUC